GCCAGGAUGUUGGCUUAGAAGCAGCCAUCAUUUAAAGAAAGCGUAAUAGCUCACUGGUCGAGUCGGCCUGCGCGGAAGAUGUAACGGGGCUAAACCAUGCACCGAAGCUGCGGCAGCGACGCUUAUGCGUUGUUGGGUAGGGGAGCGUUCUGUAAGCCUGCGAAGGUGUGCUGUGAGGCAUGCUGGAGGUAUCAGAAGUGCGAAUGCUGACAUAAGUAACGAUAAAGCGGGUGAAAAGCCCGCUCGCCGGAAGACCAAGGGUUCCUGUCCAACGUUAAUCGGGGCAGGGUGAGUCGACCCCUAAGGCGAGGCCGAAAGGCGUAGUCGAUGGGAAACAGGUUAAUAUUCCUGUACUUGGUGUUACUGCGAAGGGGGGACGGAGAAGGCUAUGUUGGCCGGGCGACGGUUGUCCCGGUUUAAGCGUGUAGGCUGGUUUUCCAGGCAAAUCCGGAAAAUCAAGGCUGAGGCGUGAUGACGAGGCACUACGGUGCUGAAGCAACAAAUGCCCUGCUUCCAGGAAAAGCCUCUAAGCAUCAGGUAACAUCAAAUCGUACCCCAAACCGACACAGGUGGUCAGGUAGAGAAUACCAAGGCGCUUGAGAGAACUCGGGUGAAGGAACUAGGCAAAAUGGUGCCGUAACUUCGGGAGAAGGCACGCUGAUAUGUAGGUGAAGUCCCUCGCGGAUGGAGCUGAAAUCAGUCGAAGAUACCAGCUGGCUGCAACUGUUUAUUAAAAACACAGCACUGUGCAAACACGAAAGUGGACGUAUACGGUGUGACGCCUGCCCGGUGCCGGAAGGUUAAUUGAUGGGGUCAGCGCAAGCGAAGCUCUUGAUCGAAGCCCCGGUAAACGGCGGCCGUAACUAUAACGGUCCUAAGGUAGCGAAAUUCCUUGUCGGGUAAGUUCCGACCUGCACGAAUGGCGUAAUGAUGGCCAGGCUGUCUCCACCCGAGACUCAGUGAAAUUGAACUCGCUGUGAAGAUGCAGUGUACCCGCGGCAAGACGGAAAGACCCCGUGAACCUUUACUAUAGCUUGACACUGAACAUUGAGCCUUGAUGUGUAGGAUAGGUGGGAGGCUUUGAAGUGUGGACGCCAGUCUGCAUGGAGCCGACCUUGAAAUACCACCCUUUAAUGUUUGAUGUUCUAACGUUGACCCGUAAUCCGGGUUGCGGACAGUGUCUGGUGGGUAGUUUGACUGGGGCGGUCUCCUCCUAAAGAGUAACGGAGGAGCACGAAGGUUGGCUAAUCCUGGUCGGACAUCAGGAGGUUAGUGCAAUGGCAUAAGCCAGCUUGACUGCGAGCGUGACGGCGCGAGCAGGUGCGAAAGCAGGUCAUAGUGAUCCGGUGGUUCUGAAUGGAAGGGCCAUCGCUCAACGGAUAAAAGGUACUCCGGGGAUAACAGGCUGAUACCGCCCAAGAGUUCAUAUCGACGGCGGUGUUUGGCACCUCGAUGUCGGCUCAUCACAUCCUGGGGCUGAAGUAGGUCCCAAGGGUAUGGCUGUUCGCCAUUUAAAGUGGUACGCGAGCUGGGUUUAGAACGUCGUGAGACAGUUCGGUCCCUAUCUGCCGUGGGCGCUGGAGAACUGAGGGGGGCUGCUCCUAGUACGAGAGGACCGGAGUGGACGCAUCACUGGUGUUCGGGUUGUCAUGCCAAUGGCACUGCCCGGUAGCUAAAUGCGGAAGAGAUAAGUGCUGAAAGCAUCUAAGCACGAAACUUGCCCCGAGAUGAGUUCUCCCUGACUCCUUGAGAGUCCUGAAGGAACGUUGAAGACGACGACGUUGAUAGGCCGGGUGUGUAAGCGCAGCGAUGCGUUGAGCUAACCGGUACUAAUGAACCGUGAGGCUUAACCUUACAACGCCGAAGGUGUUU
Molecule: ribosomal RNA, 1872 nt
Filed under: Escherichia coli
Lineage: Bacteria; Pseudomonadati; Pseudomonadota; Gammaproteobacteria; Enterobacterales; Enterobacteriaceae
Description: partial 23S ribosomal RNA
Rfam family: Bacterial large subunit ribosomal RNA
Source: RNAcentral